GCGACGUACAAAUUGAAAUGUGAGCACGAGACGGGGGCAGGAAUUCCCUGAAAAAAGGUGCUGUUUCGAGAAGCCUACCAACCAGCCAGUCAUCUUGUCAACCAAUCAGCCUACCAACCAGCCAGUCAUCUUGUGCACCGAUCACCCUUCCAGCCAGCCAGUUAUGAUGUGAACCAAACAGCCUACCAACCAGCCACUCAUCUUGUGCAAGAAUCAGCCUACCAACCAGCCAGUCAUCUUGUGGACCAGUCAUGCUAGAGAUCCAGCAAGUAGCCAGGGCAUCAUUGCUACUGUUGACCAUGGUCCUAGAAACAUGGGCCAGUAAUCCUCACCUUGCCAGAUGCACCUCGUUUUGGUACAUUUAGCUAGAACAUUCUCGCACUGGUUACUGUGACGGACAGGAGAAUCCUCUGUUGCCAUGGAGAUGGCUCUGCUUCUCAAGGAUUUCAGGAAGCUACAAAUGCUACAGUUGUUUCCAACACAAGGCUCAAGUUUCAUCGACAAUUGAAAGUCACAAGACAAGGUACAAAUUUCAGCUGGUCCGUGACCGUCGAUCCAUGCCUGCAAUGCCGAGGUCCUACGACAUAUUAAACACGAGAUGUCCCGAGCU
This 610-nucleotide long non-coding RNA is filed under the name Acanthaster planci (crown-of-thorns starfish). Its description in RNAcentral is "uncharacterized LOC110989889, transcript variant X2". The record is from RNAcentral. Lineage: Eukaryota; Metazoa; Echinodermata; Asteroidea; Valvatida; Acanthasteridae.